This 172-nucleotide ribosomal RNA is filed under the name Thiobacillus sp. 65-1402. RNAcentral's name for it is "partial 23S ribosomal RNA". It matches the Rfam family "Bacterial large subunit ribosomal RNA", at positions 2763 to 2925 of the family's 2925-position model. Lineage: Bacteria; Pseudomonadati; Pseudomonadota; Betaproteobacteria; Nitrosomonadales; Thiobacillaceae. The record is from RNAcentral.
GAUAAGCGCUGAAAGCAUCUAAGCGUGAAACUUGCCUCAAGAUAAGAUAUCCCUUGUGACUUGAUCACACUGAAGGGUCGUUCGAGACCAGGACGUUGAUAGGCUGGGUGUGGAAGCGCAGUAAUGCGUUAAGCUAACCAGUACUAAUUGCCCGUGAGGCUUGAUCCUAUAA